UACAGAGGUCCCGAGCGUUGUUCGGAUUCAUUGGGCGUAAAGGGUGCGUAGGCGGCGGGGCAAGUCUGAUGUGAAAUCCCGGGGCUCAACCCCGGAACUGCAUUGGAUACUGCUUUGCUUGAGUACUGGAGAGGAGACUGGAAUUUACGGUGUAGCAGUGAAAUGCGUAGAGAUCGUAAGGAAGGCCAGUGGCGAAGGCGAGUCUCUGGACAGUUACUGACGCUGAGGCACGAAGGACAGGGGAGCAAACGGG
Molecule: ribosomal RNA, 253 nt
Filed under: uncultured bacterium
Lineage: Bacteria
Description: partial 16S ribosomal RNA
Rfam family: Bacterial small subunit ribosomal RNA
Source: RNAcentral